AUUGAACGCUGGCGGCAGGCCUAACACAUGCAAGUCGAGCGGUAGAGAGGUGCUUGCAUCUCUUGAGAGCGGCGGACGGGUGAGUAAUGCCUAGGAAUCUGCCUAGUGGUGGGGGAUAACGUUCGGAAACGGACGCUAAUACCGCAUACGUCCUACGGGAGAAAGCGGGGGAUCUUCGGACCUCGCGCCAUUAGAUGAGCCUAGGUCGGAUUAGCUAGUUGGUGAGGUAAUGGCUCACCAAGGCGACGAUCCGUAACUGGUCUGAGAGGAUGAUCAGUCACACUGGAACUGAGACACGGUCCAGACUCCUACGGGAGGCAGCAGUGGGGAAUAUUGGACAAAUGGGCGAAAGCCUGAUCCAGCCAUGCCGCGUGUGUGAAGAAGGUCUUUCCGGAUUGUAAAGCACUUUAAGUUGGGAGGAAGGG
RNAcentral lists this ribosomal RNA (425 nucleotides) under uncultured bacterium. Its description in RNAcentral is "bacterial SSU rRNA". It matches the Rfam family "Bacterial small subunit ribosomal RNA", at positions 30 to 452 of the family's 1533-position model. The record is from RNAcentral.